Small nucleolar RNA from Prunus dulcis (almond), 100 nucleotides. RefSeq annotates it as small nucleolar RNA snoR127. The transcript has a single exon. NCBI's taxonomy places the organism in Eukaryota, Viridiplantae, Streptophyta, Magnoliopsida, Rosales, Rosaceae. The record is from RefSeq and is a predicted model, not a curated record.
CUGGGAUGAUGCAAAUUAGCCAAAUCAUAUGUGGAUGUGCUCCAUGGGGCAGAUUUUCCUAAGCUUGUACUGGUUCCUAUUUGAGAGGCAUUUUGCCAGU